CAGCAGCCACGGGAAUACGUAGGGUGCGAGCGUUAAUCGGAAUUACUGGGCGUAAAGCGUGCGCAGGCGGUUCGUUAAGACAGAUGUGAAAUCCCCGGGCUUAACCUGGGAACUGCAUUUGUGACUGACGGGCUAGAGUAUGGCAGAGGGGGGUAGAAUUCCACGUGUAGCAGUGAAAUGCGUAGAGAUGUGGAGGAAUACCGAUGGCGAAGGCAGACCCCUGGGCCAAUACUGACGCUCAUGCACGAAAGCGUGGGGAGCAAACAGGAUUAGAUACCCCCGUAGUCCCUGUCUCUUAUAC
Molecule: ribosomal RNA, 301 nt
Filed under: uncultured bacterium
Lineage: Bacteria
Description: partial 16S ribosomal RNA
Rfam family: Bacterial small subunit ribosomal RNA
Source: RNAcentral